This 497-nucleotide ribosomal RNA is filed under the name uncultured bacterium. Its description in RNAcentral is "partial 16S ribosomal RNA". It matches the Rfam family "Bacterial small subunit ribosomal RNA", at positions 28 to 507 of the family's 1533-position model. The record is from RNAcentral.
GAUGAACGCUGGCGGCGUGCCUAAUACAUGCAAGUCGAGCGGACGGACGAGAAGCUUGCUUCUCUGAUGUUAGCGGCGGACGGGUGAGUAACACGUGGAUAACCUACCUAUAAGACUGGGAUCACUUCGGGAAACCGGCGCUAAUACCGGAUAAUAUUUUGCACCGCAUGGUUCAAAAGUGAAAGACGGUCUUGCUGUCACUUAUAGAUGGAUCCGCGCUGCAUUAGCUAGUUGGUAAGGUAACGGCUUACCAAGGCAACGAUGCAUAGCCGACCUGAGAGGGUGAUCGGCCACACGGGAACUGAGACAGGGUCCAGACUCCUACGGGAGGCAGCAGUAGGGAAUCGUCCGCAAUGGGCGAAAGCCUGACGGAGCAACGCCGAGUGAGUGAUGAAGGUCUUCGGAGCGUAAAACUCUGUUAUUAGGGAAGAACAGAUGUGUAAGUAACUGUGCACAGCGUGACGGUACCUAAUCAGAAAGCCACGGCUAACUACGUG